AGAGUUUGAUCCUGGCUCAGGACAAACGCUGGCGGCGUGCGUAACACAUGCAAGUCGAACGCGCGGGGCAACCCGCGAGUGGCGGACGGGUGAGGAACACGUGGAUGACCUGUCCUACCAGUGGGGGAUACCUUUCAGAAAUGGGGGUUAAUCCCGCAUACGUCCCAAGCAUCACGGCUUGGGGGAAAGCCUUCGGCAAC
RNAcentral lists this ribosomal RNA (200 nucleotides) under uncultured bacterium. RNAcentral describes it as "partial 16S ribosomal RNA". It matches the Rfam family "Bacterial small subunit ribosomal RNA", at positions 8 to 218 of the family's 1533-position model. The record is from RNAcentral.